GACGAACGCUUUUGGCGUGCUUGACACAUGCAAGUCGAACGGAAAGGCCCUGCUUUUGUGGGGUGCUCGAGUGGCGAACGGGUGAGUAACACGUGAGUAACCUGCCCUUGACUUUGGGAUAACUUCAGGAAACUGGGGCUAAUACCGGAUAGGAGCUCCUGCUGCAUGGUGGGGGUUGGAAAGUUUCGGCGGUUGGGGAUGGACUCGCGGCUUAUCAGCUUGUUGGUGGGGUAGUGGCUUACCAAGGCUUUGACGGGUAGCCGGCCUGAGAGGGUGACCGGCCACAUUGGGACUGAGAUACGGCCCAGACUCCUACGGGAGGCAGCAGUGGGGAAUAUUGCACAAUGGGCGGAAGCCUGAUGCAGCAACGCCGCGUGCGGGAUGACGGCCUUCGGGUUGUAAACCGCUUUCGCCUGUGACGAAGCGUGAGUGACGGUAAUGGGUAAAGAAGCACCGGCUAACUACGUGCCAGCAGCCGCGGUGAUACGUAGGGUGCGAGCGUUGUCCGGAUUUAUUGGGCGUAAAGGGCUCGUAGGUGGUUGAUCGCGUCGGAAGUGUAAUCUUGGGGCUUAACCCUGAGCGUGCUUUCGAUACGGGUUGACUUGAGGAAGGUAGGGGAGAAUGGAAUUCCUGGUGGAGCGGUGGAAUGCGCAGAUAUCAGGAGGAACACCAGUGGCGAAGGCGGUUCUCUGGGCCUUUCCUGACGCUGAGGAGCGAAAGCGUGGGGAGCGAACAGGCUUAGAUACCCUGGUAGUCCACGCUGUAAACGGUGGGUACUAGGUGUGGGGUCCAUUCCACGGGUUCCGUGCCGUAGCUAACGCUUUAAGUACCCCGCCUGGGGAGUACGGCCGCAAAGCUAAAACUCAAAGGAAUUGACGGGGCCCCGCACAAGCGGCGGAGCAUGCGGAUUAAUUCGAUGCAACGCGUAGAACCUUACCUGGGUUUGACAUGGAUCGGGAGUGCUCAGAGAUGGGUGUGCCUCUUUUGGGGUCGGUUCACAGGUGGUGCAUGCCUGUCGUCAGCUCGUGUCGUGAGAUGUUGGGUUAAGUCCCGCAACGAGCGCAACCCUUGUUCACUGUUGCCAGCACGUUAUGGUGGGGACUCAGUGGAGACCGCCGGGGUCAACUCGGAGGAAGGUGGGGAUGACGUCAAGUCAUCAUGCCCCUUAUGUCCAGGGCUUCACGCAUGCUACAAUGGCUGGUACAGAGAGUGGCGAGCCUGUGAGGGUGAGCGAAUCUCGGAAAGCCGGUCUCAGUUCGGAUUGGGGUCUGCAACUCGACCUCAUGAAGUCGGAGUCGCUAGUAAUCGCAGAUCAGCAACGCUGCGGUGAAUACGUUCCCGGGGCU
RNAcentral lists this ribosomal RNA (1346 nucleotides) under uncultured bacterium. Its description in RNAcentral is "bacterial SSU rRNA". It matches the Rfam family "Bacterial small subunit ribosomal RNA", at positions 28 to 1381 of the family's 1533-position model. The record is from RNAcentral.